GGCCGAGAGCCAAAUCACAACCACCCACCCACUUUCAAAUCCCAUAUUAAUAAACCACAUACACUCAAGUGUGUAAGGUCGCAUACAAGGAAGCCUGGUGCUUGCGGAUUGCCAAGGACCUCUCUACGACGCUAUUAACCACCCAUUUUUCGUCUAGUUUCUUCCCUAGCCUCGAGCUAGUAGAAAUGAAGAUUUCUUCAAAAAUAAAAGUGGAUAUAAGUUACGACGUUAAUUAAGCAAACCCGGUGAAGUUUACGACGCACAGGAACGCAAAGUUGUGAGUUCAUGCUCCCCCUUUUCUCUUAACUGUUUUCAGUUUUAUAACUUCGGGGAUGAAAUACAUGUUACAAAUAUUUCUAUGUUUACAAAUGGUAUGAUAACAAAAAGCACACUUGGUGAGAACGAGUACCAAGUGUGACGAGAUAUAAAAAUACGAGAAACGCACUUGGUGAAAACGAGUACCAAGUAUGAUGCGUUACGAGAAAUGAUACGAGAAAUAGUGUCACGAAUAGGGUACCAUAAGCACCAUUAAUCGUGUACAUACUUAGACCGCAGAACAAAAGGUUAGAUCUAAUGGGUUCAGGGCAGCCCCACUCUUGGUGACAACUAGAACCAAGUAGUGUUUUUGUGUCUCAGUCGUGAAUCGACUACAGAAAAUGCCUAUGGAUUGGUGACUUCCUAUGUCGUGUCAUAUGUUAAUGGCUUUGCAACCCAUUAACACUUGAUACAUAUAGAGAUACUUGUCUCAUUCAUGAAUACGUGAUUUGAAACAAAAUACAUACCAUGUUUUUCAUACAAAGUAUACAAACGUUCAAUACAAAAACUGCAUGAAUUCACACCAACAUUAUGUUGACGUUUUUCCAAAACUCACAUGUAUUUCAGGUAACUAGGAUGGAUGUGCGCGUGGUCUCACUUAUGCUCGUGGAUGUCGCUUGUGUUUGUCUUUAAAUAAAGUGUAAACCUUUUAAGACAAUGUUUUAUGUUAACUCGCGAUGUAAACGCGAACUUAUGAUUUCAAAUUAUGGUAUUUGAAGUUAUUUUC
This 1042-nucleotide long non-coding RNA is filed under the name Helianthus annuus (common sunflower). RNAcentral describes it as "hypothetical non coding rna". Lineage: Eukaryota; Viridiplantae; Streptophyta; Magnoliopsida; Asterales; Asteraceae. The record is from RNAcentral.